This 63-nucleotide transfer RNA is filed under the name Lynceus grossipedia. RNAcentral's name for it is "tRNA-Trp". Lineage: Eukaryota; Metazoa; Arthropoda; Branchiopoda; Diplostraca; Lynceidae. The record is from RNAcentral.
AGGAUUUUAAGUUAAUUAAACUAUAAACCUUCAAAGUUUAAAAUAGGGUAACCCUCAAUCCUA